RNAcentral lists this long non-coding RNA (1353 nucleotides) under Apteryx owenii (little spotted kiwi). Its description in RNAcentral is "lncRNA (ENSAOWG00000011072.1)". The record is from RNAcentral. Lineage: Eukaryota; Metazoa; Chordata; Aves; Apterygiformes; Apterygidae.
CUGCAGUGGUAGAUCGUGGGGAGAAGAGGACAUGGAUAACUGCAUAAAUCACUGAAACCUCAGGAGGACUGUCUACCCUUCAAAAUCUGUUAUGUUAUACCCAGCCACUCUCGGUAGGUUGCAGAAAGAGGACAUACAUAUAAUCACAGUACGUCUUCAGAGGGAGGCUUUUAAUUAGAGAAAUUCUCUUUAACGCAGAAGAUUAGAUCAAGUCUUGCAGUACUGCCCUUUCUGUUCAGCAGAAGAGCUGCUCGCAGGGAUGCGUUGCCUGGUUUUCUGGAGCUGAAGUAUACAACUCUUCCAGCACCCCAUGCCCUUUGCAAGCUGCGGAUGUGGGAUGCGAAAUCAGGACGUCAACCUGACUCCUCCAUUACUGCCACUGGCUUCUCCUGUUUCAGGAAGGACCCGACUGUGCGGAGGUUCCGAGGGAACUCCUGCAAACUCCUCAAUUACAAAGUGUAACGUGACUGCGGGUCAACAUCCCCAGCAGUGUGUUGUGUACGAUGAAGAACUGUUGUUUCCUUCUAUCACUUUGUGUUCACUAAUAGUGAGAGGUUUUGUAAAUGACUGAGAAAUAUGCCUGAGUAGGUUUGGAGAGCAAUUAAGAGCUUGAGCUAGAAGAUACAGUUCUGUUUGCACAUCUUUCUGCUGGUGCUGGGUCUGCCCUGCCUGGGAGUGCGGUGAUUCCAGUGACGCUAAUGCUGGAUUUUCCAGAAGAGACUGGAAAUGAAGAAACAGGAACGAUGUGACAAACCACGUGAGCCCUGUGCGUUUCUAGUGUUUCCGCAGAACCUCAUGGAGGUAACUGCUGCUGCUCUGAAGGUUCUUAAGUUUCACCACUUCUUCAGGUUAGCUACGUGCACCAUUCUCCCAAGAAAAGAAAACUUUGGCACUCAAAGCAAUUUGUAUCCAAAGAAAUCAAAGUAAAUGUCAUCAUCCCUGUUUUACAGAUACAGAAACAAAGAUUUUGACAAGUGAUUUACUCAAGUGAGAGAAAAAUAAGAGUCAAAUCUUGUACAAGGAUGCUCUUGUAAAUACCUGUCCUGUGUUUUAAUUAAUAAGUGUUCAGAUUUCCUGCUGGUUUUGGAGUCUGGGAAUUACUGGGAACAACUGAUAUGUCUCUGAGAUGUUACAUUCUUCACUUUAGGGUUGUGCUGAUAGUCAUUUUCCAUGCUGAAACAUGUUGCCUUAGUUUAAUUCCAGGAACUAUGGAUGUUAAUUUCUUAAGAAACUUUUGGUAAUUGUAAUGCAAGCAGUUUUGGGAGUGGGGAAGAAUCAGCUGAAUCAGAAAGAAGAUCAAGUUCUGCAUGUAUAGAACAAUAAAAAUCUAACUGUGGUUAAACUAUGUGCCCA